AUAUAAAAAUAAUAAAUGCUGCAGACAGUAGGUGCUUAUAAAAGCUUAAUUUCCUACCGAGGCAAUUAAAGCAAAAUGGUUUUGUUCCAUACAAAAUCAUGAAUUUGUUUAAAUGCUAAAGCCUUUCUGUUUCUGCAGAAAGGCUUUAUUUAAUUUGUU
This 159-nucleotide small RNA is filed under the name Tepidanaerobacter syntrophicus. It matches the Rfam family "Ribosomal protein L10 leader". From Rfam's summary of the family: This family is a putative r-protein leader autoregulatory structure found in B. subtilis and other low-GC Gram-positive bacteria. It is located in the 5' untranslated regions of mRNAs encoding ribosomal proteins L10 and L12 (rplJ-rplL). Lineage: Bacteria; Bacillati; Bacillota; Clostridia; Thermosediminibacterales; Tepidanaerobacteraceae. The record is from RNAcentral.